UCAGUGAGGUUCUGGACAGAGAAGAGUGAGAAGCCUUGGGGACCAGAGAGAGAGGUGGAGGUUUAGAGUGAGCUUUUCAGAGAAAAGAGUCUUGGAUGACAAGCAAUAAGAAAGAUGAGAGAAGCUGAAGGGAGAGAAAGGAAGCUGGGAGUUUUGGCUAGUCUGGAGAAGCAAGAAAAAUAAUAAUGAAAAUAACAGAGAGAGUGAGUUGUUUUAGAUGAGGGGAUGCAUUCGGGGUGAGUUGGGUUAGAGUGAGAUUCUGUUAAGGAGAGAUGAGUCGAC
Molecule: long non-coding RNA, 282 nt
Filed under: Vitis vinifera (wine grape)
Lineage: Eukaryota; Viridiplantae; Streptophyta; Magnoliopsida; Vitales; Vitaceae
Description: long non-coding RNA (VVIN_LNC004206)
Source: RNAcentral